CUUGGUCAUUUAGAGGAGUAAAAGUCGUAACAAGGUUUCCGUAGGUGAACCUGCGGAAGGAUCAUUAAUGUAACCGGACCGGUCCUCUGCCGUCAAACGCAGCGGAUGGGAAUGGGAGAUAUCAUACACCCCUAUGUUUAUUUACUUUUGUUGCUUUGGCGGGCCGUCCUUUUAGGCGUCGGCCCCGGCUGAUCGCGCCCGCCAGAGGACCCAAACUCUUUUAUCAGUGAUGUCUAAGUACUAUAUAAUAGUUAAAACUUUCAACAACGGAUCUCUUGGUUCUGGCAUCGAUGAAGAACGCAGCGAAAUGCGAUAAGUAAUGUGAAUUGCAGAAUUCAGUGAAUCAUCGAAUCUUUGAACGCACAUUGCGCCCGCUGGUAUUCCGGCGGGCAUGCCUGUUCGAGCGUCAUUAUGACCAAUCAAGCUCUGCUUGGCCUUGGGGCCCGCUGUACCGGCGGCCCUUAAAAUCAGUGGCGGUGCCGUCUGGCUCUAAGCGUAGUAAUACUUCUCGCUACAGGGUUCAGCCGUCCACCCGCCAGAACCCCCAACUUUCUUAGGUUGACCUCGGAUCAGGUAGGGAUACCCGCUGAACUUAAGCAUAUCAAUAAGCGGAGGAA
This 617-nucleotide ribosomal RNA is filed under the name uncultured fungus. RNAcentral's name for it is "eukaryotic LSU rRNA". The stretch from base 256 to 409 matches the Rfam family "5.8S ribosomal RNA". Lineage: Eukaryota; Fungi. The record is from RNAcentral.